This 301-nucleotide ribosomal RNA is filed under the name uncultured bacterium. RNAcentral describes it as "partial 16S ribosomal RNA". It matches the Rfam family "Bacterial small subunit ribosomal RNA", at positions 509 to 807 of the family's 1533-position model. The record is from RNAcentral.
CAGUAGCCGCGGUAAUACGUAGGUGGCAAGCGUUGUCCGGAAUUAUUGGGCGUAAAGGGCUCGCAGGCGGUUUCUUAAGUCUGAUGUGAAAGCCCCCGGCUCAACCGGGGAGGGUCAUUGGAAACUGGGAAACUUGAGUGCAGAAGAGGAGAGUGGAAUUCCACGUGUAGCGGUGAAAUGCGUAGAGAUGUAGAGGAACACCAGUGGCGAAGGCGACUCUCUGGUCUGUAACUGACGCUGAGGAGCGAAAGCGUGGGGAGCGAACAGGAUUAGAUACCCCAGUAGUCCCUGUCUCUUAUAC